AGCCCAACUCUAGCCCAACCCUCACAACCAAACAAACCUAAAAAUCUACUCACCCUCCAAACUAAAACAUUCUCCCAACUUAGUAUAGGCGAUAGAAAAGUUUUAUUAGGCGCGAUAGAGAUCCUGUACCGUAAGGGAAAGAUGAAAUAGCAGUGAACAAGCCAAGCAAUAAACAGCAAAGAUAAACCCUUGUAUCUCUUGCAUCAUGAUAUAGCAAGAACAACCAAGCAAAACGAACUUAAGCUUGCCAUCCCGAAACCCAAGCGAGCUACUUACAAGCAGCUAUCCUUUGAGCGAACCCGUCUCUGUUGCAAAAGAGUGGGAUGACUUGUCAGUAGAGGUGAAAAGCCAAUCGAGCUGGGUGAUAGCUGGUUACCUGUGAAACGAAUCUAAGUUCUACCUUGACCUUUUUCCCCCCGGACCUUCACUAACCCUAAUGAUGCAGGUCAGGAGCAAUUUAAAGGAGGUACAGCUCCUUUAAAAAAGAAUACAAUCUCCCCUAGCGGAUAACCCACCCUACGAACAAAACAUUGUGGGCCUUCAAGCAGCCACCAACAAAGAGUGCGUCAAAGCUCCACCCUCUACAAAACCCCAUAACCAUGCGACUCCCUUCUCACUAACAGGUUAACCUAUAACAAUAGGAGAAUUAAUACUAAAAUGAGUAACUAGGGCAUGCCCUCUCAAGCGCAAACUUACAUACCCCCCAUUAUUAACAGACACUUAAUACCCCCACAUCAACAAGACCCCGUAUUUUACCCACUGUUAAUCCAACCCAGGAGCGCCUGCUAGAAAGAUUAAAAUCUGUAAAAGGAACUAGGCAAACCCCAAGACCCGACUGUUUACCAAAAACAUAGCCUUCAGCUAAACCAAGUAUUGAAGGUGAUGCCUGCCCAGUGACCUAUGUUCAACGGCCGCGGUAUCCUAACCGUGCGAAGGUAGCGCAAUCAAUUGUCCCAUAAAUCGAGACUUGUAUGAAUGGCUAAACGAGGUCUUAACUGUCUCUUGCAGAUAAUCAGUGAAAUUGAUCUCCCUGUGCAAAAGCAGGAAUGAGCACAUAAGACGAGAAGACCCUGUGGAACUUAAAAAUCAACAGCCACCUCACAAAUAAAAUCAAACCUACCCAGGACCACCACCACAACACACUGGCUAACAUUUUUCGGUUGGGGCGACCUUGGAGAAAAACAAACCCUCCAAAAAUAAGACCACCCCUCUUAACCAAGAGCAACCCCUCAACGUACUAACAGUAACCAGACCCAAUACAAUUGAUCAAUGGACCAAGCUACCCCAGGGAUAACAGCGCAAUCCCUUCCAAGAGCCCAUAUCGACGAAGGGGUUUACGACCUCGAUGUUGGAUCAGGACAUCCUAAUGGUGCAGCAGCUAUUAAGGGUUCGUUUGUUCAACGAUUAACAGUCCUACGUGAUCUGAGUUCAGACCGGAGUAAUCCAGGUCGGUUUCUAUCUAUGAUGAACUUUCCCUAGUACGAAAGGACCGGAAAAGUGAGGCCAAUACUUCAAAUUGCACGCCUCCUCUCUAAGUAAUGACCCCAACUAAAUUACUAAGAGAUCCACCAUAAUACCUAAUCCUAAAAAAGGAUC
RNAcentral lists this ribosomal RNA (1596 nucleotides) under Ptilinopus regina. Its description in RNAcentral is "16S ribosomal RNA". It matches the Rfam family "Bacterial large subunit ribosomal RNA". Lineage: Eukaryota; Metazoa; Chordata; Aves; Columbiformes; Columbidae. The record is from RNAcentral.